AUCACAGUCAUCCCCAGUAAGAAUAAUAACAUCCACAUAAACUACCACAAUCGCAAGGGACCCAGGUGUAGGGAAAGGUAGCCAACCUGGGAUACGUUGCGGCAAGGCCUUUGAUGAACAGGGAAUAAUCAUUCAAAGAAUGCCUAUAGCCUCUGGAGUAUAGGGGCAGAAGACAACUUGGCAUACCAUUGUCUGGAAGCCUGUCUGAGCCCAUAUAGGGAUUUGUUUAACUUGCAAACAAGGGGAGCAGGAGAGGCAGAGGGGGCAGAAACAGAGGCAGGAGUAGAAACAGUUAAACCUGGAGGAAGUUUCAUAUACACCUCCUCCUCAUCCACCUCCUCCUCAUCCAAAUCACCAUGCAAGAAAGCAUUAUUAACAUCAAGUUGAAAUAAAUUCCAAUGAUUUUUCACAGCCACAACAAUAAGACACUUGACAGUGCACAUAUUAACCACAGGGGAAAAGGUGUCAGUGAAGUCAAUACCUUCAAAUUGAGUAUCACCUCUAAUAACAAGUCUGGCUUUAUACUUUUCAACACAGCCAUCAGCCUUGUACUUUAUUUUAUAAACCCUUUUACAACUAAUGGGUUUCUUACCAGGAGGAAGAGGGACAACAUCCCAAGUAUGGUUAGUGUCCAAAGCAUCAAACUCCUAUCUCAUGGCAUCCUGCCAUGCUGGAACAGAUGCAGCUUGAGAGUAAUAUAAAGGUUCAGAUUCUGAAUUAGAAGAAGAGGAGCCAGAAAAGGCAGGGAGUUGCAGAUAUAAUCCUUAAGAUAGGGAGGAUGAUUAUGCUGUCUAGUGGAUUUUCUAGGAGCAGGACACAGAUGCAGCCUGAGAGUAAUAUAGAGGCUCAGAUUCCAAAGAGGAGGAAGAUAAACCAGAGAAGGCAGGUAGUUGAAAGACAUAAUCCUUAAGAUAGGAAGGAGGAUUAUGCUGUCUUGGAGACUUUCUGGGAGCAGGAAUAGAAGGAGAAGAAGCCAAAACAGGAGG
This 986-nucleotide long non-coding RNA is filed under the name Nicotiana benthamiana. RNAcentral describes it as "long non-coding RNA (NBEN_LNC027241)". The record is from RNAcentral. Lineage: Eukaryota; Viridiplantae; Streptophyta; Magnoliopsida; Solanales; Solanaceae.